This 365-nucleotide ribosomal RNA is filed under the name uncultured eukaryote. Its description in RNAcentral is "partial 18S ribosomal RNA". It matches the Rfam family "Eukaryotic small subunit ribosomal RNA", at positions 592 to 975 of the family's 1831-position model. The record is from RNAcentral.
CAAUAGCGUAUAUUAACGUUGUUGCAGUUAAAAAGCUCGUAGUUGGAUUUCUGGAGGGAGCGUCGGCCCGUAUUUACGAGUGCGUGACGUCUCUGUCCAUCCUUGCGGGAAGGCACGGCAUUGAUUUGUUGUGUCGGAUCGCAUCAUUUACUGUGAAAAAAUUAGAGUGUUCAAAGCAGGCUUUCGCUUGAAUACAUUAGCAUGGAAUAAUAAGAUAGGACUUUGGUGCUAUUUUGUUGGUUGAGCCUAAAGUAAUGAUUAAUAGGGAUAGUUGGGGGCACCUGUAUUGCGUUGUCAGAGGUGAAAUUCUUGGAUUUACGCAAGACAAACAGAUGCGAAAGCGUCUGCCAAGGAUGUUUUCAUUA